CCCUGAAAACUGUAAACCCUUUGAAAUUAUAUUUUACAAAUCGACUUCAAUUUCUCUAUCAAGAAAAAAUCAAACGAUGGAAUGAACCAAUGUUCAUUAAAGAAGGAUUUACUUCUCAAAUUACUAGAUUAUAGAAUAAGAAAUAGUUUAAACUACAAUGAGGAAAUAACCAAAAGAAUUCACAGAGAAAUCUCAAAACUAACAGAGAACAAAUGAAGAAUCAUAAGAUAACAUAUUUAACACAAAUCACAUGAAUGAUCCAUACAUGUUUGCUUUCAUUUCACAAGAUUCUUCACGACCUUUGAGCUCCAUAUGAUUUCCACUACUGAUCGCAACUUCUAUUUCCCACCCUCCACGCAUUCAUCACUUCUUAACCCUUCUUUUACUAUAUCAAAUUUACGCCAUGAAAUAGGGAGAUCCAUAUAUAUUUUUCUUUCUUGUGAAAAGAUUCUUCACUGCCUUUAAACUCCAGAUGAUCUCCACUGUUGAUCGUAACUUCUAUUCUCCACCCUCCACGUGUCCAUCACUUCUUAACCCUUCUUUUUCUAUAUCAAUUUACGGCAUGAAAUAAUGAGAUCCAUAUAUUUUUUUCUUUCUUUCACAAGAUUCUUCACUGCCUUUGAGCUCCAGAUGAUCUCCACUGUUGAUCGUAACUUCUAUUCUCCACCCUCCACGUGUCCAUCACCUCUUAACCCUUAUUUUUCUAUAUCAAUUUACGCCAUGAAAUAGGGAGAUCUAUAUGUUUUUUUUUCUUUCAUUCACAAGAUUCUUCACUGCCUUUGAGCUCCAUAUGAUCUCCACUGUUGAUCGUAACUUCUAUUCUCCACCCUCCACGUGUCCAUCACUUCUUAACCCUUAUUUUUCUAUAUCAAUUUACGCCAUGAAAUACGGAGAUCCAUAUACUUUUUUUUCUUUCACAAGAUUUUUCACUGCUUUUGAGCUACAGAUGAUCUCCACUGUUGAUCGUAACUUCUAUUCUCCACCCUCCACGUGUCCAUUACUUCUUAACCCUUAUUUUUCUAUAUCAAUUUACGCCAUGAAAUAGGGAGAUCCAUAUAUUUUUUCUUUCUUUCACAAGAUUCUUCACUGCCUUUGAGCUCCAUAUGAUCUCGACUAUUGAUCGUAACUUCUAUUCUCCACCCUCCACCCUCCACGUGUCCUUUACUUCUUAACCCUUAUUUUUCUAUAUCAAUUUACGCCAUGAAAUAGGGAGAUCCAUAUAUUUUUUUCUUUCUUUCACAAGAUUCUUCACUAUCUGUGAGCUCCAGAUGAUCUCCACUAUUAAUCGUAACUUCUAUUUUCCACCCUCCACGUGUCCAUCACUUCUUAACCCUUCUUUUUCUAUAUCAAUUUAUGCCAUGAAAUAAGGAGAUCCAUAUAUAUUUUUUCUUUUUUUCACAAAAUUCUUCACUGCAUUUGAGCUUUAGAUGAUCUCCACUGUUGAUCGUAACUUCUAU
Molecule: long non-coding RNA, 1457 nt
Filed under: Capsella rubella
Lineage: Eukaryota; Viridiplantae; Streptophyta; Magnoliopsida; Brassicales; Brassicaceae
Description: long non-coding RNA (CRUB_LNC003767)
Source: RNAcentral